GUUUUUUUUUUUUCUUUCCCGUUUUUUUCGCCCCCCCUCUUUCAGUUUUGAUCCAAAGAUAGAAAUCUUAGCAAGAAGAACACCCGGGCAGCUUUUUUGCAGGAAGAACACGAAGGUGCAAUACGAGAGCUGCAGCGGGGAGCCUUUGGCAGGUGGCGGUGACGCACAGAAGUUACUUUGCCUUCGGGAAGCAAAAAAGCCCUGUCUGCUGUUUCUGUAGGUGUAUUUUUGUUAUCUCCCUUCUCCCGCAAGAAGUUGCCGGGGCCGCGCAGCAGCGGGAAGCGGCGGCGGCUCGCCCUGGGCGGCAGCAGAUUAUGGUGGCAGCGCAGCGGGAGGAGCGGCGGCGGCGGCGGUAGCAGCAGCCCCGAUUCGCGAAUGCGUUUUGCAUUUACGGUCGUCGCUGGCAAGUGCCACCUGAAGCUUCGGCAGCUGGGCAAGGACCGCUAACGUUUUAAAGGGGAAAACCCCGCCGGGGAAGGAGUUAACGGGAGGAGGGGGCAGCGCCAGGUUGUGUGCGUGCUUGUGGGGAGAGGGGAUUGGUUAUCAUGGCGGAUCGGACAGCUCCGAGAUGCCAGCUCCGUCUGGAGUGGGUUUACGGGUACAGGGGUCACCAAUGCCGCAACAACCUGUACUACACGGCGGGCAAAGAGGUAGUCUACUUCGUGGCUGGAGUCGGCGUGGUUUAUAACACCAGAGAGCACAGCCAGAAAUUCUUCCUAGGGCACAACGACGAUAUUAUCAGCCUUGCAGUUCAUCCAGAUAAAACUUUAGUAGCUACAGGGCAGGUUGGAAAGGACCCUUACAUCUGCAUCUGGGAUUCCUACCGUGUACAGACUGUUUCUGUUCUUAAGGAUGCACACACACAUGGAGUCGCCUGCUUAGCUUUUGAUUCAGAUGGCCAGCGUUUAGCUUCAGUGGGACUGGAUGCCAAAAAUACAGUGUGUAUUUGGGACUGGAAGAGAGGAAAACUACUGGCAACAGCUACAGGCCAUUCAGACAGGAUAUUUGAUAUUUCCUGGGAUCAAUAUCAACCGAAUAGAAUUGUCAGCUGUGGAGUAAAACACAUAAAGUUUUGGACACUGUGUGGAAAUGCACUGACAGCAAAAAGAGGAAUAUUUGGUAAAACAGGGGAUCUGCAAACUAUCCUCUGCUUAGCAUGUGCAAAAGAAGAUAUCACGUACUCUGGUGCUUUAAAUGGAGACAUCUAUGUUUGGAAAGGGCUAAACUUAGUUCGCACGAUUCAAGGAGCGCAUAGUGCUGGAAUUUUUAGUAUGUAUGCUUGUGAGGAAGGUUUUGCGACUGGAGGGAGAGAUGGUUGCAUUCGGUUAUGGGACACUGAUUUCAAACCAAUUACUAAAAUUGAUCUCAGGGAAACUGAACAAGGAUACAAAGGUUUGUCCAUCCGAAGUGUCUGUUGGAAAGCAGACAGACUUUUAGCAGGGACACAGGACAGUGAAAUAUUUGAGGUGUUAGUAAGAGAGAGAGAUAAACCCAUGCUGAUUAUGCAGGGACAUUGUGAGGGAGAGCUCUGGGCCUUGGCAGUCCAUCCAAAGAAGCCUUUAGCAGUCACAGGCAGUGAUGAUCGAUCUGUACGAUUAUGGAGUCUUGCUGACCAUGCCUUGAUAGCUCGUUGUAAUAUGGAGGAAGCAGUGCGGAGUGUUUCUUUCAGUCCUGAUGGAUCACAGUUAGCACUUGGAAUGAAAGAUGGCUCCUUUAUUGUUCUUAGAGUAAGAGACAUGACAGAGGUAGUUCAUAUUAAAGACCGAAAAGAAGUAAUCCAUGAAAUGAAAUUUUCACCAGAUGGCUCUUACCUUGCUGUGGGUUCAAACGAUGGUCCAGUGGAUAUCUAUGCGGUUGCUCAGCGAUACAAAAAAAUAGGAGAAUGCAACAAAUCUUCUAGUUUUAUCACUCACAUUGACUGGUCUGUGGAUAGUAAAUUCUUGCAAACCAACGAUGGUGCAGGAGACAGACUGUUCUACAAGAUGCCUUCUGGGAAGCAUCUAACUAGCAAAGAUGAGAUCAAAGGAAUUCAUUGGGCCUCAUGGACCUGUGUGAUAGGAUCUGAAGUAAAUGGUAUUUGGCCAAAAUAUACAAACGUUACAGACGUCAACUCUGUGGAUGGAAACUACAAUAGCUCAGUGUUAGUGACUGGAGAUGAUUUUGGACUGGUUAAGUUGUUCAGAUUUCCAUGCCUAAAGAAAGGAGCUAAAUUUAGAAAAUAUGUUGGCCAUUCAGCACAUGUAACGAAUGUCCGAUGGUCCCAUGACUUUCAGUGGGUUUUAAGUACUGGAGGUGCUGAUCACUCUGUCUUUCAGUGGCGAUUUAUCCCUGAAGGGAUAACAAAUGGCAUCCUCGAAACAGCUCCACAAGAGGGUGGCAUUGAUUCCUACAGUGAAGAGUCAGAUUCAGAUUUAUCUGAUGUGCCAGAGUUAGAUUCUGACAUUGAACAGGAAGCUCAAAUCAACUAUGAUCGCCAGGUUUACAAAGAAGAUCUACCUCAGCUGAAACAACAAAGUAAAGAGAAAAACCAUUCUGUGCCCUUCCUUAAAAGAGAGCGAGCACCUGAGGACAGUUUAAAAUUGCAGUUUAUACAUGGUUACAGGGGCUAUGACUGUCGAAAUAACUUGUUCUACACACAGACUGGAGAAGUAGUGUAUCAUAUUGCUGCUGUAGCUGUUGUAUACAAUAGACAACAACACACUCAAAGGCUGUAUCUUGGUCAUGAUGAUGACAUCCUCAGCCUAUGCAUUCACCCAGUGAAAGACUAUGUUGCUACUGGACAGGUUGGGAGAGAUGCUGCUAUUCAUGUUUGGGACACACAGACACUGAAGUGUUUAUCGUUGCUCAAAGGCCAGCAUCAAAGAGGAGUGUGUGCGCUGGAUUUUUCAGCUGAUGGAAAAUGUUUGGCAUCUGUUGGGCUUGAUGAUAAUCAUGCCAUUGUGUUUUGGGACUGGAAAAAAGGAGAAAAGCUAGCAACAACCAGGGGUCAUAAAGAUAAAAUAUUUGUAGUGAAGUGUAAUCCACAUCAUGUAGACAAAUUAGUCACGGUUGGGAUGAAGCACAUCAAGUUUUGGCAGCAAACAGGUGGAGGCUUUACAUCAAAACGAGGAACAUUUGGAAGUACUGGAAAAUUGGAAACUAUGAUGAGCGUUUCAUAUGGGCGAAUAGAAGAUUUAGUUUUCUCUGGUGCUGCUACUGGAGACAUUUUCAUCUGGAAGGAUACGCUGUUGCUUAAGACAGUGAAAGCUCAUGACGGGCCUGUAUUUGCAAUGCAUGCGUUGGAUAAGGGGUUUGUAACUGGUGGAAAAGAUGGAAUUGUGGCACUUUGGGAUGAUAUGUUUGAAAGAUGUCUGAAGACGUAUGCUAUUAAAAGAGCAGCGCUAUCUUCUAGUUCCAAAGGUUUACUUUUAGAAGACAAUCCCUCUAUUCGAGCCAUCAGUCUAGGACAUGGACAUAUACUAGUGGGAACUAAAAAUGGAGAGAUACUUGAAAUUGAUAAAAGUGGUCCUAUGACUCUACUGGUUCAGGGACAUAUGGAAGGAGAAGUCUGGGGCUUGGCAGCUCAUCCUCUCUUGCCUGUCUGUGCAACAGUGAGUGAUGAUAAAACGCUUCGAAUCUGGGAACUUUCUUCCCAGCACCGCAUGCUGGCAGUGAGGAAACUCAAAAAAGGUGGACGAUGCUGUGCCUUUUCUCCUGAUGGGAAAGCCUUGGCUGUAGGAUUGAAUGAUGGGAGUUUUCUGGUGGUAAAUGCUGACACUGUUGAAGAUAUGGUAUCUUUUCACCACAGAAAGGAAAUGAUCUCAGAUAUAAAGUUUUCACGAGAAUCAGGAAAAUACCUGGCUGUGGCUUCCCAUGAUAAUUUUGUGGAUAUUUACAAUGUGCUUACCAGCAAAAGAGUUGGCAUUUGUAAAGGUGCAUCUAGCUAUAUCACACACAUUGACUGGGAUUCAAGAGGAAAGCUAUUGCAAGUCAAUUCUGGUGCCAAGGAACAACUAUUUUUUGAAGCACCAAGAGGGAAAAGGCAUAUUAUAAGAAUUGCAGAGAUAGAGAAGAUUGAGUGGGACACCUGGACAUGUGUUCUGGGUCCUACUUGUGAAGGAAUUUGGCCUAUGCACAGUGAUGUCACCGUUGUAAACGCAGCAACUCUUACAAAAGAUGGAACACUAUUAGCUACGGGAGAUGACUUCGGUUUUGUGAAGCUUUUUUCAUAUCCAGUAAAGGGCCAACAUGCAAAAUUCAAGAAGUAUGUGGGUCACAGUGCACAGGUAACCAAUGUUCGGUGGUUACACAAUGAUUCUGUGCUGCUGACUGUAGGUGGUGCUGAUACAGCUUUAAUGAUCUGGACCAGAGAAUUUUUGGGCAUUCAGGAGAGUAAGCUGGUUGAUAGUGAAGAAUCAGACACAGAUGCAGAAGAAGAUGGAGGGUAUGAUAGUGAUGUUGCAAGAGAAAAAGCAAUUGACUAUACCACUAAGAUAUACGCAGUAAGCAUCCGAGAAAUGGAAGGGACAAAACCACAUCAACAGCUGAAGGAAGUUUCAGUCGAAGAGAGGCCGCCAGUUAGCAGAGCUGCUCCUCAACCUGAAAAACUGCAAAAGAACAAUAUCAACAAAAAAAAGAAACUGGUUGAGGAGCUGGCUUUAGACCAUGUUUUUGGAUACAGAGGAUUUGAUUGUCGCAACAACCUUCAUUACCUAAAUGAUGGUGCUGAUAUUAUUUUCCACACAGCUGCAGCAGGCAUAGUUCAAAAUCUUUCUACUGGUAGUCAGAGUUUCUACCUGGAGCAUACUGAUGACAUUCUCUGCCUAACUGUGAAUCAGCACCCAAAGUAUAAAAAUAUUGUGGCAACCAGCCAGAUCGGUGAUAUGACAGAAUUUACAGGUACAACUCCCACAAUUCAUAUAUGGGAUGCUAUGAGUAAGCAAACAAUUUCAAUGCUACGUUGCUUCCAUACCAAAGGAGUCAACUAUGUCAACUUCAGUGCAACUGGCAAACUUCUGGUUUCAGUGGGAGUUGAUCCAGAACAUACUAUCACAGUGUGGAGGUGGCAAGAAGGGGCUAAAGUUGCUAGCAGGGGAGGACACCUGGAGAGGAUAUUUGUUGUAGAGUUCCGCCCAGAUUCAGACACUCAGUUUGUGUCUGUUGGAGUAAAACACAUGAAGUUCUGGACAUUAGCUGGCAGUGCUUUGCUUUACAAGAAAGGAGUCAUUGGUUCCAUGGAAGAUGCCAAAAUGCAAACCAUGCUUUCUGUUGCCUUCGGAGCAAAUAACCUUACAUUUACUGGUGCCAUAAAUGGAGAUGUCUACGUCUGGAAGGAUCAUUUUCUGAUUAGACUUGUGGCAAAAGCUCACACAGGGCCAGUGUUUACAAUGUACACAACUCUUCGGGAUGGACUCAUUGUUACAGGAGGCAAGGAAAGACCCACUAAAGAAGGGGGAGCUGUAAAGCUAUGGGAUCAAGAAAUGAAACGGUGCCGAGCAUUUCAGCUUGAGACAGGACAGCUCAUAGAGUGUGUGCGCUCCGUCUGUAGAGGAAAAGGGAAAAUUUUAGUGGGAACGAAAGAUGGAGAAAUCCUUGAAGUAGGGGAAAAAAAUGCUGCUUCAAACUUGUUAAUUGAUUGUCACAUGGAAGGGGAAAUUUGGGGCUUAGCAACUCACCCCUCAAAAGACAUAUUUAUCUCUGCAAGUAAUGAUGGAACAGCAAGAAUCUGGGACCUGUGUGACAAAAAACUGCUGAACAAAGUCAAUCUAGGCCAUCCAGCUAGAUGUGCUGCGUAUAGUCCUGAUGGUGAGAUGGUUGCAAUCGGCAUGAAGAAUGGAGAAUUUGUUAUUUUACUUGUUAACAGCCUUAAGGUUUGGGGCAAAAAGCGAGACAGGAAGUCUGCAAUUCAGGAUAUUAGGAUCAGCCCGGAUAACAGGUUUUUGGCUGUGGGUUCACAAGAACAUACUGUAGAUUUUUAUGAUCUCACUCAAGGUACAACCCUAAACCGAAUAGGCUACUGCAAAGACAUUGCAAGCUUUGUCAUCCAGAUGGAUUUUUCUGCAGACAGCAAGUACAUACAGGUAUCAACUGGUGCCUAUAAGCGUCAAGUUCAUGAGGUACCACUAGGAAAGCAAAUAACGGAUCCUGCCAUGAUAGAGAAGAUUACAUGGGCCACGUGGACAAGCAUUCUUGGAGACGAAGUCAUUGGAAUUUGGCCGCGAAAUGCAGAUAAAGCAGAUGUCAAUUGUGCGUGUGUGACCCAUGCUGGCCUAAAUAUAGUCACAGGCGAUGAUUUUGGUCUGGUGAAACUGUUUGAUUUCCCAUGCACAGAAAAAUUUGCCAAACACAAGCGGUAUUUUGGGCAUUCUGCGCAUGUUACCAACAUCCGCUUUUCUCAUGAUGACAAGUAUGUGAUAAGUACAGGAGGAGAUGACUGCAGGUAGCUGCUUAUUUAUUUUUAUGGUGAUGGGAUUGAUGAAAAAAUUUGUUGUGUAACUUCCUGUGCCAAACGCACAGCAAUGCAAGUACCACGUUUCUUGGCUCACUCUGUAUUCAUUGGUACCUGCUGAAGCGUGAACUUUGCUUUUCUUACUCUUGCACUGCUGUAUUUUAUGCUUACUUGUACCUGAUUUGCUCCUGCUACCUUGGCCAUACUCAUAAGGCCAUCGGGUAAUCAUGCAGUCAGGUAUCUGUGCCUUCAGUUUAUGUCACCAGAGCACCCAGCAUCUGCUUCUAGGUCCUUUGUCUUGCCUUCCUCCUGGAGAGAGGCCAGACCAGGCCGAUCUUGCCUAUUGCUGCACGGCCUGCAAGGAACACGGAGCCUUUGAGUGACAAGAGUGUAUUUGUAUGGCGAUGUCUUUGAAAGACAACUUUUCCUGCUGUUACUGCAACCACCAAGUGACAGCUCUGGACUGGACAGCCAUGAAUGCCUCUACCCUCAGCCGCUGGAAGUUUCCACAUGCUGCUGUGUGGAUUACGCCUUUUUGGAUUACUCGUGACUUUACUGACCAUGAAUGCGAUCGUGCGAUGUGAAGACCAACAUCCUUGAGCAGGAAGCUGAAGUUUGAAAGCGACAUGUUUUGUAAGAGGGGUAAGCUAAAGUGAACAGUUAACACCCUAAGCUGCUUUUGCCUAAUACUGUAUUAUUCAAAUCACAUCUGAAAAGGGAGGACACAGAGGGCCCUUUAAUUUGCAUAAUUUCAAAAUUUAAACAUUCACUCAAAAAAGUGUUUUUACUAUACCUGCUUAAAACUCAAAUUUAGUGCACUAAGUCACAAGCUUUUAAUGAGCACGCUGGGUUCAUGCUUCAGCUUUCAGGAAUUGGAGGAGCAAAGUAUAAUUUUUGUUUCAAUGUAUUUAUUUGGCAAAAUUUUCUAUCCAUGAAGUGCCUUUGAACAAUAUUUCCAGUAGUCUGGGCUACAAUCUUGCCUCCCACCAAUGUCUGUUUUCAACAUAUGGUGCUAUAACUUUCACACAGAGGAGGGCUAACACCAACACUUUUCCAGACAUGUACUUACGUUAUCCGCUAAAUCCCUUUUUAGUGCUUUGGUUUUUAAUACCUUCAGAAAUGAAUUCCAAAAUGUUUCCAAGAGCAGGAACCUAUGCAUCAUUAUGAGGACAAAACUGGUGGUGUGACAUCUCUUGGUAAGCUAUACUCAAUCGGUUCAGAUGGUAGAUGGGCUGCAGCCAGAAUUUGAGGCUUAACUCAAAGUGGGGACAGGAGUGGGGGAAGUAGAAAGAUUUUUUUUAACACAAAUAAUGAGGAAGUUGUUCCCUAAGUGUUCCUGCAAUCUCCCUGUUGGCAGGAAAACAUGCUUCAUAUUUAACUGCCAUCCCAAGCAGUGACCAUCUAGUGCAUUAAAGUAUUUUGAAAGCCACCAGGAAUCCUUGUUUCCCAUUAUGCCCUCUGGAGAGAGAGAGACAAAUGAGAGAAACCAAUGAGGGCUGUGACCCCUUCAGUGGGCAGCUAGGCCCAUGCUAUUUAGACAUAGAAAAUAAAUAACUCUGGUACCUGGCAGUUUACCUAUCCCGGAGAAAAGCAAAAUCUUUGCUAAAUUUGAACUCCUCUCCCCAUCCUUGCUUCUCUUGCACCGUGUGCAGCCCUCUGCUCUGUGACUAGGCUGUGGGAUCAUGGGGCAGGAGGGCAGCAGGCAGCUGAAAUGAAAUAUGAGAUCUCUCCACUUGAAAGUGGAGACUAUGAGCAGAUGUUCACAAAAAGCAAGAAGAGCUCUUCAGCAGUUGUUACUGAACUUCUUAGAAAACCAAAAAUGAUAGGGGACAGUGGAAUUGGAGAAAGAAAAAGUUCAAAUUUUCAAAUGAAAUCUUAGAAAGGAACAGAAAACAUGGGCAGUUUCAAAAGAUUUCGGAGAGUUCUGAUGUGGAAUACCUCCGUAUUUUGGAACGACCUUCCUUUUAAACAGACCGGUUUUAAUCAAAAGAAAUAAAGGCCAAAAUAGAACAUUUUGACUUAUAUGUAGUAUUUGAAAAGAGAUACUGAAUUGUGGUUUAGUCCCAGUUCAGUUCAGAUUAAUAGAAUGAUUAAUUGUGGAACCAUCCUGCCAAACCACUUCUGAUUCCCACUACGUAAGUGAGACAAUAGCUGUUAGACAUAAAAAUGUCAUAUCAUAAAAAUGACAAAUGAAACAACUAUCCAAUUAAAGGAGUGGAUCCAUGUAUAUUUAACACACAAAAGUGCUUCAGCAACCUCCAAGAAUCACCUUUUUUUAAAAGUGAAUUUAUUAAUGCCUUAUAUUACUAUACAGAUCAGUUUGUCAGAUACACAAUAAGAGUCCCUAUGCAGUUUUUUUUUUUAAAUAAACCUUAUUGAUCAAAUAUUGUAAUCAUGUUAGGUGGUGAUGUCAGUGAGCACCUUCUUUGCUUAUGUUGUCAUGUUUGCCUUUCACAUUGAUUGUAUCCUGAAUAAAACCAGUUGCACAGCAGAAGGAAUUAUUAAAUGGCUAUGUUAAAAAUAUCUUAGAGCAAUAGCGUCUGUCAGGAUAACACUUAAAAAUUUGUAUGUUUAUAUGGUUUGGCUUUAUGUAUAAAAUGUUCAGAAGUGAUGAUGUACUAUACUGUAAAUUAAAAUAUUAGUGCAUGAAUUUAUUUUUCAAUGGUCAAGAUGCCAUUAAUUUAAAAUCUGUGUCUCAAAUAAACUCGGAUACAAGUUUUCAAUGUCCAGCUUUCUAAAUCAGGCUCGAAAACAUCUGAAAAAUUAUUGGACUCGCUUAACAAUUUCCUUCAAACUAGUACAUUACUGUCUUCAACAUAAAAGAAGCCAAGGAUAUUUACUUCUUUUAGCAGAAUCUAAAAUUUCAUCUUUUUCAAGAACAAUUUUCAACCACCAACCAACUCACAAGACUGACAGUCACCCACGUCACUGAGCUGUCAGUGCAGCUGGCCAUGGUAACAACAGUGGCCUUCAGUAUUCAGCAUCGAGGCCUCCUCACUGCAGGAAAGCAUCUGCUCUACGAGAACUACGCGCCAAACUGAGCAUCACCCACCAACACAGCUAUUCAGGACAUCAGAUCUGUAACUAGAACUGAACAAACUGCUUCACGCUGCACAAAAGGUAUCAUGAAAAAUCCAUCUACUCACAUUGCUAUAAAUCUGACAAACUACUUCUACCACCAUGUACAAUGGAUAUUUAAUCACGAUGAACUUAAAAUAAACACAAAUAUAUUAAACUUACCUCAAGAAAGCAAAAUACCGAUAUUAUUUUAAGUCUAUAAGCUUUAUUGAUACUUGGGGUUUUGUUUUUUUUUUCUUUUUUGUUUGUUUUUUUUUUUUUACAUUUCACAAUGCAUUCCACAGACUUAGUUCAAUACAGCUUAAACUGCAAGUGUAUAAAUUUUCAUUUAUAAUUUCUUGCAUAACAAGGUUUUAAGUUU
Molecule: non-coding RNA, 9866 nt
Organism: Anas platyrhynchos (mallard)
Lineage: Eukaryota; Metazoa; Chordata; Aves; Anseriformes; Anatidae
Source: RefSeq, a predicted model, not a curated record